GAAACCGUGUACGUACAAGCAGUGGGAGCACGCUUAGGCGUGUGACUGCGUACCUUUUGUAUAAUGGGUCAGCGACUUAUAUUCUGUAGCAAGGUUAACCGAAUAGGGGAGCCGAAGGGAAACCGAGUCUUAACUGGGCGUUAAGUUGCAGGGUAUAGACCCGAAACCCGGUGAUCUAGCCAUGGGCAGGUUGAAGGUUGGGUAACACUAACUGGAGGACCGAACCGACUAAUGUUGAAAAAUUAGCGGAUGACUUGUGGCUGGGGGUGAAAGGCCAAUCAAACCGGGAGAUAGCUGGUUCUCCCCGAAAGCUAUUUAGGUAGCGCCUCGUGAAUUCAUCUCCGGGGGUAGAGCACUGUUUCGGCAAGGGGGUCAUCCCGACUUACCAACCCGAUGCAAACUGCGAAUACCGGAGAAUGUUAUCACGGGAGACACACGGCGGGUGCUAACGUCCGUCGUGAAGAGGGAAACAACCCAGACCGCCAGCUAAGGUCCCAAAGUCAUGGUUAAGUGGGAAACGAUGUGGGAAGGCCCAGACAGCCAGGAUGUUGGCUUAGAAGCAGCCAUCAUUUAAAGAAAGCGUAAUAGCUCACUGGUCGAGUCGGCCUGCGCGGAAGAUGUAACGGGGCUAAACCAUGCACCGAAGCUGCGGCAGCGACGCUGAUGCGUUGUUGGGUAGGGGAGCGUUCUGUAAGCCUGUGAAGGUGUGCUGUGAGGCAUGCUGGAGGUAUCAGAAGUGCGAAUGCUGACAUAAGUAACGAUAAAGCGGGUGAAAAGCCCGCUCGCCGGAAGACCAAGGGUUCCUGUCCAACGUUAAUCGGGGCAGGGUGAGUCGACCCCUAAGGCGAGGCCGAAAGGCGUAGUCGAUGGGAAACAGGUUAAUAUUCCUGUACUUGGUGUUACUGCGAAGGGGGGACGGAGAAGGCUAUGUUGGCCGGGCGACGGUUGUCCCGGUUUAAGCGUGUAGGCUGGUUUUCCAGGCAAAUCCGGAAAAUCAAGGCUGAGGCGUGAUGACGAGGCACUACGGUGCUGAAGCAACAAAUGCCCUGCUUCCAGGAAAAGCCUCUAAGCAUCAGGUAACAUCAAAUCGUACCCCAAACCGACACAGGUGGUCAGGUAGAGAAUACCAAGGCGCUUGAGAGAACUCGGGUGAAGGAACUAGGCAAAAUGGUGCCGUAACUUCGGGAGAAGGCACGCUGAUAUGUAGGUGAAGCGACUUGCUCGUGGAGCUGAAAUCAGUCGAAGAUACCAGCUGGCUGCAACUGUUUAUUAAAAACACAGCACUGUGCAAACACGAAAGUGGACGUAUACGGUGUGACGCCUGCCCGGUGCCGGAAGGUUAAUUGAUGGGGUCAGCGCAAGCGAAGCUCUUGAUCGAAGCCCCGGUAAACGGCGGCCGUAACUAUAACGGUCCUAAGGUAGCGAAAUUCCUUGUCGGGUAAGUUCCGACCUGCACGAAUGGCGUAAUGAUGGCCAGGCUGUCUCCACCCGAGACUCAGUGAAAUUGAACUCGCUGUGAAGAUGCAGUGUACCCGCGGCAAGACGGAAAGACCCCGUGAACCUUUACUAUAGCUUGACACUGAACAUUGAGCCUUGAUGUGUAGGAUAGGUGGGAGGCUUUGAAGUGUGGACGCCAGUCUGCAUGGAGCCGGCCUUGAAAUACCACCCUUUAAUGUUUGAUGUUCUAACGUUGACCCGUGAUCCGGGUUGCGGACAGUGUCUGGUGGGUAGUUUGACUGGGGCGGUCUCCUCCUAAAGAGUAACGGAGGAGCACGAAGGUUGGCUAAUCCUGGUCGGACAUCAGGAGGUUAGUGCAAUGGCAUAAGCCAGCUUGACUGCGAGCGUGACGGCGCGAGCAGGUGCGAAAGCAGGUCAUAGUGAUCCGGUGGUUCUGAAUGGAAGGGCCAUCGCUCAACGGAUAAAAGGUACUCCGGGGAUAACAGGCUGAUACCGCCCAAGAGUUCAUAUCGACGGCGGUGUUUGGCACCUCGAUGUCGGCUCAUCACAUCCUGGGGCUGAAGUAGGUCCCAAGGGUAUGGCUGUUCGCCAUUUAAAGUGGUACGCGAGCUGGGUUUAGAACGUCGUGAGACAGUUCGGUCCCUAUCUGCCGUGGGCGCUGGAGAACUGAGGGGGGCUGCUCCUAGUACGAGAGGACCGGAGUGGACGCAUCACUGGUGUUCGGGUUGUCAUGCCAAUGGCACUGCCCGGUAGCUAAAUGCGGAAGAGAUAAGUGCUGAAAGCAUCUAAGCACGAAACUUGCCCCGAGAUGAGUUCUCCCUGACUCCUUGAGAGUCCUGAAGGAACGUUGAAGACGACGACGUUGAUAGGCCGGGUGUGUAAGCGCAGCGAUGCGUUGAGCUAACCGGUACUAAUGAACCGUGAG
RNAcentral lists this ribosomal RNA (2383 nucleotides) under Escherichia coli. RNAcentral's name for it is "partial 23S ribosomal RNA". It matches the Rfam family "Bacterial large subunit ribosomal RNA", at positions 552 to 2915 of the family's 2925-position model. Lineage: Bacteria; Pseudomonadati; Pseudomonadota; Gammaproteobacteria; Enterobacterales; Enterobacteriaceae. The record is from RNAcentral.